AGUGAACGCUGGCGGUAGGCCUAACACAUGCAAGUCGAACGGCAGCACAGUAAGAGCUUGCUCUUACGGGUGGCGAGUGGCGGACGGGUGAGGAAUACAUCGGAAUCUACUUUUUCGUGGGGGAUAACGUAGGGAAACUUACGCUAAUACCGCAUACGACCUACGGGUGAAAGCAGGGGAUCUUCGGACCUUGCGCGAUUGAAUGAGCCGAUGUCGGAUUAGCUAGUUGGCGGGGUAAAGGCCCACCAAGGCGACGAUCCGUAGCUGGUCUGAGAGGAUGAUCAGCCACACUGGAACUGAGACACGGUCCAGACUCCUACGGGAGGCAGCAGUGGGGAAUAUUGGACAAUGGGCGCAAGCCUGAUCCAGCCAUACCGAGUGGGUGAAGAAGGCCUUCGGGUUGUAAAGCCCUUUUGUUGGGAAAGAAAAGCAGCAGGUUAAUACCCCGCUGUUCUGACGGUACCAAAAGAAUAAGCACCGGCUAACUUCGUG
This 492-nucleotide ribosomal RNA is filed under the name uncultured bacterium. RNAcentral's name for it is "partial 16S ribosomal RNA". It matches the Rfam family "Bacterial small subunit ribosomal RNA", at positions 29 to 507 of the family's 1533-position model. The record is from RNAcentral.